This 253-nucleotide ribosomal RNA is filed under the name uncultured bacterium. Its description in RNAcentral is "partial 16S ribosomal RNA". It matches the Rfam family "Bacterial small subunit ribosomal RNA", at positions 524 to 776 of the family's 1533-position model. The record is from RNAcentral.
UACGUAGGGGGCAAGCGUUGUCCGGAUUUACUGGGCGUAAAGAGCGUGUAGGCGGCCACGCAGGUCCGUUGUGAAAACUGGAGGCUCAACUUCCAGCCGUCGACGGAAACCGUGUGGCUAGAGUCCGGAAGAGGAGAGUGGAAUUCCUGGUGUAGCGGUGGAAUGCGCAGAUAUCAGGAGGAACACCAAUAGCGAAGGCAGCUCGCUGGGACGGUACUGACGCUAAGGCGCGAAAGCGUGGGGAGCGAACAGG